RNAcentral lists this transfer RNA (72 nucleotides) under bacterium. RNAcentral describes it as "tRNA-Glu". It matches the Rfam family "tRNA". From Rfam's summary of the family: Transfer RNA (tRNA) molecules are approximately 80 nucleotides in length. The record is from RNAcentral.
GCUCCGUUCGUCUAACGGUUAGGACAUUAGGUUUUCAUCCUAAAAAUAGGAGUUCGAUUCUCCUACGGAGUA